RNAcentral lists this transfer RNA (73 nucleotides) under Ovis aries (sheep). It matches the Rfam family "tRNA". From Rfam's summary of the family: Transfer RNA (tRNA) molecules are approximately 80 nucleotides in length. Their secondary structure includes four short double-helical elements and three loops (D, anti-codon, and T loops). Lineage: Eukaryota; Metazoa; Chordata; Mammalia; Artiodactyla; Bovidae. The record is from Rfam by way of RNAcentral.
UCUCUGGUGGUCUAGUGGUUAGGACUCUGCAUUUUCACUGCCAAGGGCCUGGGUUCAAUCCCUGGUUGAGGAA